This 510-nucleotide ribosomal RNA is filed under the name uncultured bacterium. RNAcentral describes it as "partial 16S ribosomal RNA". It matches the Rfam family "Bacterial small subunit ribosomal RNA", at positions 28 to 507 of the family's 1533-position model. The record is from RNAcentral.
GACGAACGCUGGCGGCGUGCUUAACACAUGCAAGUCGAACGAAGAGCGACGGAAGCUUGCUUCUAUCAAUCUUAGUGGCGAACGGGUGAGUAACGCGUAAUCAACCUGCCCUUCAGAGGGGGACAACAGUUGGAAACGACUGCUAAUACCGCAUACGAUCUAAUCUCGGCAUCGAGGAUGGAUGAAAGGUGGCCUCUACAUGUAAGCUAUCACUGAAGGAGGGGAUUGCGUCUGAUUAGCUAGUUGGAGGGGUAACGGCCCACCAAGGCGAUGAUCAGUAGCCGGUCUGAGAGGAUGAACGGCCACAUUGGGACUGAGACACGGCCCAGACUCCUACGGGAGGCAGCAGUGGGGAAUCUUCCGCAAUGGACGAAAGUCUGACGGAGCAACGCCGCGUGAGUGAUGACGGCCUUCGGGUUGUAAAGCUCUGUUAAUCGGGACGAAAGGCCUUCUUGCGAAUAGUGAGAAGGAUUGACGGUACCGGAAUAGAAAGCCACAGCUAACUACGUG